UGUUUGACAGAAAUGACAAAUAGACAAGAUGAAUCAAAUCAACCUACGUAAAUGAUAAACCUUAUAAAGCUUAGCUUUUACAGAUAUAUUUGUCACUGCCAGACACAAUGUCAAAAGCUUGGGCGGGAUGUAAGCUGAAAAGCAAGGAGUUUUAUAGCUCUGAACAGCAUCUGAACACUGGCAAAAAUCCAACCAAAGACAUAUUGCUUUACACACAAAUGAGACAGUAUGGUAACCAAAAGAAAAACCCACAAAGUAUUGUGAAUGAGUACAUUGCUAGAGCUGUUCCAACCCUAUUGGUGGAAAAAGAGUUUGACAUGGGAAACAUAAAUAAGGUCUUCUCCUCACACUGGCUCAAUGACAGACAGGUUGCCUUCGGUACAAAAUGCAAUAAAUUGAUGAUAUUAGAUUCUCUGACAGGAAAACUUUUUCAAAUUCCGUCCAUAAAAAGUAGUGAUGACAGUUAUCCAGCAGAAAGUCCUUGUGGAAUACACAGUAUAGCCCUAAAUCCCUCAGGGACCUUAUUCGCCACAGGGGCCGAGAACACAAAUGAUCUGGCAAUUUACCAACUACCAACCUUUGACCCUGUGAUGGUGGGAGAGAGAGGGCACACAGAUUGGAUAUUCGAUAUUUCAUGGAUAGAUGACGAAUUUCUGGUGACCGGUUCUCGAGACAGUCGACUGUGUCUGUGGCGAGUAGACAACAAGGAGGAUAUAGAUCAAACCUCGCGUUUACAAAGUCUACAGGUACCGGAAUACGCCAUUAAGGGUCCAGAAGCUGUGGAAUAUUGUGACAAGGCUAACAAAGUCCGUGCUUUAUGCUACAACGAUAACAGAAAGGAACUAGCUGUUCUCUCCCUAAAUGCUUACUUUUAUCUCUGGGAUGUCGAAACUUUUACUGCUAAAACAUAUAGACGCCUUUUUCACACCAAGGAGAAUGUGUGUAUGUGUGUGUCCAAGGAGAGGACGCUGUAUGCAGUGGGGUCACAGUCUCAUAUUAACCUAGUAGACCCACGCUGUCCUAACACCCUCACGACUAUAAUCUCUCGCUAUCGGGGUGGAGGUGUACGAUCCGUUAGUUUUCGAGACGAUGUGCUAACAAUAGGAACUGGUGUGGGUAAUAUUCUGUUUUUUGACACAAAAGCAGGGAAAUACUUGGAGUGUGGGUGUGGACAUCCAUUUACUAUGACUGUUGGAAAUGGAUUUUUAUCAAGAGAUGAAAACUACAGGGAAUUUUUCAUGGACAAUAGUUAUCCCAAUGCCAUCUAUACACAUCAGUUUGACAGUACAGGGACUCGAUUGUUUGCGGCUGGCGGACCUCUACCUGCAGGACUAUGGGGAAACUAUGCUGGCCUCUGGCAUUGAUAUUCCUCCACAUAGGACUAGCAAAUAAAUUGUGAUAGAAACAUUCAAAACAUAUUUACAUUAGAUAUAAUAUCAAAGGCAAUUCGUUUAGAGGAUUUUAAAUAUCUUUUCAACUUUAUCAGACAUGCUGGAUUUAAUAGAGUCUGGUGUAUGUAGGUAUGUGAGAUAUAUAUAGGAUACUGGAAGAUAUUUACCAGUAAUAGUUCCACUGAAUACACUACCUAUAUAUGUAUGGCAGAAUACCAAUAUGUAUUCACAAAUGCAAAUCAUGAGUGAAGAUAUUGGUAUAUUCUGCAGCCAUAUGAGUGAUAUUUAAUGGGAAAUCAGUAAAUAUUUUGUUACUUUCAACGACAAAACUAUUACAGCAUGAAAAGUGUGAGAAUUAAUAGUGUAAUAUUUGACGUCAUAUUGUAAUGAUGUGACGCUUGGCAACAGGGCUGCACAUUGUUCUGAAUAGUUUACUUGAUGUAAUUUUAUAGUUUUCAGCUAUAAUGUGAAACUUUCUUGCAAGAAUUUUUUUCAAUUGUACAGCUGCAUAUAUACUGCGGUUUAUAUAGCAAUGGUGUACCAAAACAACCGUUUGUUUUAGUAUUGUUUUAUUCGCAUCUGAAACAGAAAUGAAUGCAGUGAAUAGAAAGAAUCAUUCUGAUUGGUCAAUACUAAAAAUGAUGUCUUUCCUUGUGAAGAUAUAACAUUCUGUUUAUAUGAUCUGCAGUAAAGUUUUUCGUCAAAAUGAUAAUUUCUGAUAUUUCUCAGACAAAGCCUCCUCGUGUUUGGCAACUUAAGAAUUUAUCCCCUAAGGUUAAGAUUCCAUUAUCUCGCCCCAAAGGGGAUGAGAGAUUCUAUUAGUCGCAGUAUACAAGAACCCCAAAUCAUUAUUAUAAUUAUUUAAAACAGUUGCAUGAUGUCACGUCAACAAAGCAUUGGACCUAAUUGAGUUUGAUGUUGGUAAAGUGAUAAUCAGAUUGUCGAUGGUUAAAUUCUCACUGCUGUCUUCACACCUGGAUGGCAAGGUGAAGAUCUAUGGUUUAAUUCUCACUGCUGUCUUCACACCUGGCCAGCAAGGUGAAGAUGAACAUCUAGGUAAACUUCAUUUUUGUAAAUCAUGCCACAAUGGUGGCCACCAUUAUGGAAAUAUUAUUGUCAGCCUUUCUUUAAAGAAUAUGUCGCUCAACUUUUGUCAGAUAACAAUGUUUUAUAGCUAGAUUUUCAGGACAUAAGCUCAAAUAAUCUGUCUGAGAAACAGAUUAGUUCCUUCAUAUGCUGCCAGUAGUUAUGUUUUAUAAUUAGUAUACGAUGUCUAAAUUUGUGUCUGAAUGCUGUUGGGGUUGUUUGUCAGAGAGAGAGAGAGAGAGAGAGAGAGAGAGAUUAAAGAAACAAAGUGCAUGAAUUACCACUGUUUUCCAGUAUGUGGACCCCACCUUUAGUGGCUUUAGGACAGUGGUGAUUAAUACAUGUUAUUGGGUGGUGUUAGACUGAUAUCAGAGUAUAUAAACUGGUCGAGUGAGCUUUGUAUCAGGUGAAAUAAUUGUCAUAUUCAUUUAAACAUAUUGUUUUAGCGAAUAACUGUGUAUGUGUUCUCAAAAAUUUCUGAUUUGUAAUUUUUUCUUUUGAAAAAUUUCAUGUUUGGAAUUCCAGGAAUGAAUUACGAGGUGAUCAAUAUCAUUCUUUUGAAUAUUUGCUUAUGUAUUGGAUAAUUUGAACAUGCAGGGCUUAUUUGUUCAAUGCUUAUCAAAUGGUUGGACCAGUUAGAUCCGAGUCUGUUCAUGAAAUAUGGACAGCCCUCAAGUGGCCAGAUGUUGCUUUCUGGCAAGCUUUUUAAAAAGAUGUUCAAGGCUUAAUUAAUAUUUGCAAGUCUGUCAGGUUGACAAAACUGUCAAUCUUGUAAACGGAAAUGAGGUCUCAAAAUCACUAAGUGUCACCGCAGGUCUAGGUGUUCAGUGUUUCCCAUGACAAUUACACUUAAUAUUCUCUAAUAGUAAAUUCUAGUUAGUAUCUCUGAUUUUCUAUCAUUUUCAAUGAAACUGCUGGUUAACAAAAGCAGUUUUUAAUAGAGAUGAGGUUUCAAUAUGACACUGAUCUACGUAGAACUUUGUUGUGUGUGUGUUUGGGGAGCUGGGAGGGGGGGAAUCUAUGAACAAUCAAUUUCAUUAUAUAUAUACAUUCUACACAUACAUAAUUAAUUUCUAUGCCAUUGAAAGAUGAAUUCUUCAAGUGAUUAAUACAUGUGUAAUUAACUUUAUACAAUUUUAUGGUAUGCUUGCUUCAUUUUCAUAAAGACGCACACCUGUAAAUAUAUAGAAUUUUAUUUGUAUAACUCCAUCAUGCAGGAACAUAUAAUCUGAAAGUUUGGUAUGCGUGUUUUGUUUUUCUUGUUUUUGCCCAGUUCAGUGCUCCAAAUUUGUUUUUAAAAGUAUUUGUUGUCUUUCUUUUUAAGGCUUCUUUUAAAAGCUAUUCCAGUUUCCCAGCUUGAACAUGGAAUAUAAUUAAAUAUUGGCGUGGGGAGUGAGGCACAUUUAUAUUUUCCCCCUUCCCCAUAGUAUAUAUAUUCUUGUAUCAAUGACACCAUUGGUAUAUAUUGUAAUAGUGUACCUCCCUUCCAAUCUAAUUAAAAUCAGAUCCAAAUUCCCAUUCCUCCACGAUACUCUUACAUAGUAUCGUAGAGGUACGAUACUCUUACAAAAUAUCUUACAUAGUAUCGUAGAGGUACGAUACUCUUACAAAGUAUCGUAGAGGUACGAUACUCUUACAAAGUAUCUUACAUAGUAUCAUGGAGGUACAAUACUCUUACAUAGUAUCGUAGAGGUACGAUACUCUUACAUAGUAUCAUAGAGGUACGAUACUCCUACAUAGUAUCGUAGAGGUACGAUACUCUUACAAAGUAUCGUAGAGGUACGAUACUCUUACAAAGUAUCUUACAUAGUAUCGUAGAGGUACAAUACUCUUACAUAGUAUUAUAGAGGUACAAUACUCUCACAUAGUAUCAGAGAGGUACGAUACUAUUACAUAGUAUCUUACAUAGUAUCGUAGAGGUACAAUACUCUUACAUAGUAUUAUAGAGGUACAAUACUCCUACAUAGUAUCGUAGAGGUUCGAUACUCUUACAUAGUAUCUUAGAGGUACGAUACUCUUACAAAGUAUCGUAGAGGUACGAUACUCUUACAUAGUAUUGUAGAGGAACAGGAAUUCGGAUCUGAUUUUAAUUUGAUUGCCUCCCUUCCUUCUGCAUACUUCUGUAAUAGCUAAUUGCACAUCAGUCAUAUUCAUGAUAAACUUAAUAAUUUCGAUUAAUUAUUUGUUAUUUUAUUUUUUUAAAAACCCUGAAAUUGUAAUGAAAGAAAGAAUGAUAUAAUAUAUAGAUGGCCAGAACGAGAUUCAAACCUGGGACCCUCUGAACCCUUGAUGAAUUUCUAUAUUAU
RNAcentral lists this unclassified non-coding RNA (4783 nucleotides) under Mizuhopecten yessoensis (Yesso scallop). RNAcentral describes it as "dDB1- and CUL4-associated factor 12-like, transcript variant X1". The record is from RNAcentral. Lineage: Eukaryota; Metazoa; Mollusca; Bivalvia; Pectinida; Pectinidae.